Molecule: long non-coding RNA, 350 nt
Filed under: Jatropha curcas
Lineage: Eukaryota; Viridiplantae; Streptophyta; Magnoliopsida; Malpighiales; Euphorbiaceae
Description: long non-coding RNA (JCUR_LNC001292)
Source: RNAcentral
AUUUUAUACAAUUUAAAUCUGCACCUGUAUCAAAUAGUGCAAUUGCAUCUAUCACAAAAUCAUUUACCUGAAUGUUUAUUUUUACCAAAUAUUUUCUUGAAGUUAUUUCUUGUAAUAAGUUUAGAAAAUUACUAUCUACAUCUUCAUCUAAUUGAUUUAUUUCAUCUUUAUCUGGUUCUGCUUCAUCAGAAGAAGAACUAGAAAUAAGUUGAGAUUCUAAUACCUUUAUUAGUCUAUCAUGAAGUUGAAAUUGUCGUUUUAAUUCACUAACUUCCUUCUUUAGAUUUCUAACUUCAUUUUUUAAAUUACUAGUGGAAUUUUCUGCUUCUACUUUUUUAUGCUUAUUUUUA